GCNCCUUNCGCUGUGNGACAUNCCUCUAUANACAUGCAAGUCGAACGAUGAAGCCCUUCGGGGUGGAUUAGUGGCGAACGGGUGAGUAACACGUGGGCAAUCUGCCCUUCACUCUGGGACAAGCCCUGGAAACGGGGUCUAAUACCGGAUAANACUCCUGCCUGCAUGGGCGGGGGUUGAAAGCUCCGGCGGUGAAGGAUGAGCCCGCGGCCUAUCAGCUUGUUGGUGGGGUAAUGGCCCACCAAGGCGACGACGGGUAGCCGGCCUGAGAGGGCGACCGGCCACACUGGGACUGAGACACGGCCCAGACUCCUACGGGAGGCAGCAGUGGGGAAUAUUGCACAAUGGGCGAAAGCCUGAUGCAGCGACGCCGCGUGAGGGAUGACGGCCUUCGGGUUGUAAACCUCUUUCAGCAGGGAAGAAGCGAAAGUGACGGUACCUGCAGAAGAAGCGCCGGCUAACUACGUGCCAGCAGCCGCGGUAAUACGUAGGGCGCAAGCGUUGUCCGGAAUUAUUGGGCGUAAAGAGCUCGUAGGCGGCUUGUCACGUCGGAUGUGAAAGCCCGAGGCUUAACCUCGGGUCUGCAUUCGAUACGGGCUAGCUAGAGUGUGGUAGGGGAGAUCGGAAUUCCUGGUGUAGCGGUGAAAUGCGCAGAUAUCAGGAGGAACACCGGUGGCGAAGGCGGAUCUCUGGGCCAUUACUGACGCUGAGGAGCGAAAGCGUGGGGAGCGAACAGGAUUAGAUACCCUNGGUAGUCCACGCCGUAAACGUUGGGNAACUAGGUGUUGGCGACAUUCCACGUCGUCGGUGCCCCAGCUAACGCAUNAAUUNCCCGCCUGGGGGAUNCNGNCNCAAGGCUAAACUCAANGNAUUGACGGGGGCCCNNCCAACNGGGGGANNUGUGGCUUNAU
This 911-nucleotide ribosomal RNA is filed under the name Streptomyces sp. LK1322.5. RNAcentral describes it as "partial 16S ribosomal RNA". It matches the Rfam family "Bacterial small subunit ribosomal RNA", at positions 26 to 950 of the family's 1533-position model. Lineage: Bacteria; Bacillati; Actinomycetota; Actinomycetes; Kitasatosporales; Streptomycetaceae. The record is from RNAcentral.